UACGGAGGGUGCGAGCGUUGUCCGGAAUCAUUGGGCGUAAAGGGCGCGUAGGUGGCCCGGUCAGUUCGUGGUGAAAGCGCGGGGCUCAACCCUGCGUCGGCCAUGAAUACUGCCGCGGCUGGAGCACUGUAGAGGCAGGCGGAAUUCCGGGUGUAGCGGUGGAAUGCGUAGAGAUCCGGAAGAACACCGGUGGCGAAGGCGGUCUCCUGGGGCAUUCUUGACGCUGAGGCGCGAAAGCUGGGGGAGCAAACGGG
RNAcentral lists this ribosomal RNA (254 nucleotides) under uncultured bacterium. RNAcentral describes it as "partial 16S ribosomal RNA". It matches the Rfam family "Bacterial small subunit ribosomal RNA", at positions 524 to 776 of the family's 1533-position model. The record is from RNAcentral.